This 370-nucleotide ribosomal RNA is filed under the name uncultured eukaryote. RNAcentral's name for it is "partial 18S ribosomal RNA". It matches the Rfam family "Eukaryotic small subunit ribosomal RNA", at positions 592 to 976 of the family's 1831-position model. The record is from RNAcentral.
CAAUAGCGUAUAUUAAAGUUGUUGCAGUUAAAAAGCUCGUAGUUGGACCUUGGACCUGGACAGGCGGUCCGCCUCACGGCGUGUACUGUCUUGCUGGGUCUUUCCUCUUGGUGAUCUGUUGUUUCGGCAGCAGGGAACCAGGACUUUUACUUUGAAAAAAUUAGAGUGUUCAAAGCAGGCUCGACGCCGGAAUAUAUUGGCAUGGAAUAAUAAAAUAGGACGUGCGGUUCUAUUUUGUUGGUUUUUGGAAUCGCCGUAAUGAUUAAUAGGGACAGUCGGGGGCAUUAGUACUCACAUGCUAGAGGUGAAAUUCUUGGAUUUUGUGAAGACUAACUUCUGCGAAAGCAUUUGCCAAGGAUGUUUUCAUUAA